Molecule: long non-coding RNA, 313 nt
Organism: Spinacia oleracea (spinach)
Lineage: Eukaryota; Viridiplantae; Streptophyta; Magnoliopsida; Caryophyllales; Amaranthaceae
Exons: 2
Source: RefSeq, a predicted model, not a curated record
AACCAGCUUCGCCGACGAGAGAGGAAUGGUCGACGACGCAGCGACGGAAAGAGAGAAUAUUCGUGGUAAAGGGAAUAGGGAUGGCAGCGGGUCCAGGACCCUACCCGGAUCCUGUCAGACCCUACCCUAAAAUUAGGGAUCUUGAUGAUGAAGUAGAUGAUGAUAUGGACGAUAACUAUUACUAAAGUACUGAAUGAAUGCCUAUUUAUUAACAUUAAUGUUGUGUAUUUAAGAAUGUGGGAUUUUGUAAUUUAUGAGCUUCGUACUUUAAAAUGUAUUGUGUUUAAGGAAAGACAAGGAUAAUUUUUGAAGA